This 274-nucleotide ribosomal RNA is filed under the name uncultured bacterium. RNAcentral's name for it is "partial 16S ribosomal RNA". It matches the Rfam family "Bacterial small subunit ribosomal RNA", at positions 523 to 796 of the family's 1533-position model. The record is from RNAcentral.
AUACGGAGGGUGCGAGCGUUACUCGGAGUCACUGGGCGUAAAGCGUCCGUAGGCGGUCGGGUAAGUCGGGUGUGAAAGCCCCGGGCUCAACCUGGGAAGUGCACCCGAUACUGCUCGACUCGAGUGCGGGAGAGGAUGGCGGAAUUCCCGGUGUAGCGGUGAAAUGCGUAGAGAUCGGGAGGAACACCAGUGGCGAAGGCGGCCAUCUGGCCCGCAACUGACGCUGAGGGACGAAAGCGUGGGGAGCAAACAGGAUUAGAAACCCGAGUAGUCC